CCAGACUCCUACGGGAGGCAGCAGUGGGGGGUAUUGGACAAUGGGGGAAACCCUGAUCCAGCGACGCCGCGUGAGUGAAGAAGUAUUUCGGUAUGUAAAGCUCUGUCAGCAGGGAAGAAAGAAAUGACGGUACCUGACCAAGAAGCCCCGGCUAACUACGUGCCAGCAGCCGCGGUAAUACGUAGGGGGCAAGCGUUAUCCGGAUUUACUGGGUGUAAAGGGAGCGUAGACGGCUGUGCAAGCCAGAUGUGAAAGCCCGGGGCUCAACCCCGGGACUGCAUUUGGAACUGUGUGGCUGGAGUGUCGGAGAGGCAGGCGGAAUUCCUAGUGUAGCGGUGAAAUGCGUAGAUAUUAGGAGGAACACCAGUGGCGAAGGCGGCUUACUGGACGACUACUGACGCUGAGGCUCGAAAGCGUGGGGAGCAAACAGGAUUAGAUACCCUUGUAC
RNAcentral lists this ribosomal RNA (448 nucleotides) under uncultured bacterium. RNAcentral's name for it is "bacterial SSU rRNA". It matches the Rfam family "Bacterial small subunit ribosomal RNA", at positions 331 to 793 of the family's 1533-position model. The record is from RNAcentral.